Molecule: ribosomal RNA, 230 nt
Filed under: uncultured bacterium
Lineage: Bacteria
Description: partial 16S ribosomal RNA
Rfam family: Bacterial small subunit ribosomal RNA
Source: RNAcentral
UACGUAGGCAGCGAGCGUUGUUCGGAGUUACUGGGCGUAAAGGGUGUGUAGGCGGUUCUUUAAGUUUGGUGUGAAAUCUCCCGGCUCAACCGGGAGGGUGCGCCGAAUACUGAGGGACUAGAGUACGGGAGAGGAAAGUGGAAUUCCUGGUGUAGCGGUGAAAUGCGUAGAUAUCGGGAGGAACACCGGUGGCCGAAGGGCGGCGAUCUGGGUCGAUACUGACGCUGAGG